UACGUAGGGGGCGAGCGUUGUCCGGAAUCAUUGGGCGUAAAGCGCGCGCAGGCGGUCCCUUAAGUCUGAUGUGAAAUCUUGCGGCUCAACCGCAAGGGGUCAUUGGAAACUGGGGGACUUGAGUGCAGGAGAGGGAAGCGGAAUUCCAUGUGUAGCGGUGAAAUGCGUAGAGAUAUGGAGGAACACCAGUGGCGAAGGCGGCUUCCUGGCCUGUAACUGACGCUCAGGCGCGAAAGCGUGGGGAGCAAACAGG
RNAcentral lists this ribosomal RNA (253 nucleotides) under uncultured bacterium. RNAcentral's name for it is "partial 16S ribosomal RNA". It matches the Rfam family "Bacterial small subunit ribosomal RNA", at positions 524 to 776 of the family's 1533-position model. The record is from RNAcentral.